GCAGUCGUGGCCGAGUGGUUGAGGCGAUAGACUAGAAAUUCAUUGGGGUCUCCCCGCACAGGUUCGAAUCCUGUCGACUGCG
Molecule: non-coding RNA, 82 nt
Organism: Ixodes scapularis (black-legged tick)
Lineage: Eukaryota; Metazoa; Arthropoda; Arachnida; Ixodida; Ixodidae
Source: Rfam